Molecule: ribosomal RNA, 945 nt
Filed under: Pseudomonas mandelii
Lineage: Bacteria; Pseudomonadati; Pseudomonadota; Gammaproteobacteria; Pseudomonadales; Pseudomonadaceae
Description: bacterial SSU rRNA
Rfam family: Bacterial small subunit ribosomal RNA
Source: RNAcentral
UACUUGUACCUGGUGGCGAGCGGCGGACGGGUGAGUAAUGCCUAGGAAUCUGCCUGGUAGUGGGGGAUAACGCUCGGAAACGGACGCUAAUACCGCAUACGUCCUACGGGAGAAAGCAGGGGACCUUCGGGCCUUGCGCUAUCAGAUGAGCCUAGGUCGGAUUAGCUAGUUGGUGAGGUAAUGGCUCACCAAGGCGACGAUCCGUAACUGGUCUGAGAGGAUGAUCAGUCACACUGGAACUGAGACACGGUCCAGACUCCUACGGGAGGCAGCAGUGGGGAAUAUUGGACAAUGGGCGAAAGCCUGAUCCAGCCAUGCCGCGUGUGUGAAGAAGGUCUUCGGAUUGUAAAGCACUUUAAGUUGGGAGGAAGGGCAGUUACCUAAUACGUAUCUGUUUUGACGUUACCGACAGAAUAAGCACCGGCUAACUCUGUGCCAGCAGCCGCGGUAAUACAGAGGGUGCAAGCGUUAAUCGGAAUUACUGGGCGUAAAGCGCGCGUAGGUGGUUUGUUAAGUUGGAUGUGAAAUCCCCGGGCUCAACCUGGGAACUGCAUUCAAAACUGACAAGCUAGAGUAUGGUAGAGGGUGGUGGAAUUUCCUGUGUAGCGGUGAAAUGCGUAGAUAUAGGAAGGAACACCAGUGGCGAAAGCGACCACCUGGACUGAUACUGACACUGAUGUGCGAAAGCGUGGGGAGCAAACAGGAUUAGAUACCCUGGUAGUCCACGCCGUAACGAUGUCAACUAGCCGUUGGGAGCCUUGAGCUCUUAGUGGCGCAGCUAACGCAUUAGUUGACCGCCUGGGGGAGUACGGCCGCACGGUAAACUCAAUGAAUUGAUCGGGGCCCGCACAGCCGUGAGCAUGUGAUUAAUCGAGUCAACGCGAGACGUACUAGUCCUUGACAUCCAUGGAACGUAUCCAGAGAAUUGCAAUUGGGUGUCCCAUG